RNAcentral lists this ribosomal RNA (470 nucleotides) under uncultured bacterium. Its description in RNAcentral is "bacterial SSU rRNA". It matches the Rfam family "Bacterial small subunit ribosomal RNA", at positions 29 to 506 of the family's 1533-position model. The record is from RNAcentral.
ACGAACGUUGGCGGCGUGGAUUAGGCAUGCAAGUCGUACGAGAACCGCUGGGUAACUGGCGGGGAAAGUGGCGAAAGGGGCAGUAAGGCGUGGGUAACGUACCCCCUGGACCGGGAUAGCCACGGGAAACUGUGGGUAAUACCGGGAGACGCAAUCGGGUCGCAUGGCCUGGUUGCCAAACGGUCCGCCGCCGGGGGAGCGGCUCACGUGGUAUUAGCUAGUUGGUGAGGUAACGGCUCACCAAGGCUAAGAUGCCUAGCGGGUGUGAGAGCACGACCCGCGCCACUGGCACUGAGACACUGGCCAGACACCUACGGGUGGCUGCAGUCGAGGAUCUUUGGCAAUGGGCGCAAGCCUGACCAAGCGACGCCGCGUGUGCGAUGAAGGCCUUCGGGUUGUAAAGCACUGUCGAGGGGGAGGAAAGCCGCAAGGUCUGACCUAUCCCUGGAGGAAGCACGGGCUAAGUUCGU